CCUGUCCUGGAGAACACUGACAGCUUUUCCAGCUGACUUCUCAAGGGGAGAGAGGCCAGGGGUGUGCCAUGGCUUCAUUCCGUCACUGUCCGUGUGUCCAGCUGUAAUAGAGGAGGCGAGAAACCGAGCAGCCACCCCUGCCAGCACUGGAAGCCAUCCCUGCCUCCCUGCGCGAGGCUCUCCCAGCCUCACACCAAGGCCGUCCAACUCGCAUCUUCCUGAAGUCCAGGAGAUGUUGGUUGUAGCUCAACCGUGUCACGUUCCCACUGAGCGAGGUGGGACCGUGGUGGGGAAUGGGUUGGGGCGAUCUUACCUGUCCUGGAGAGCGGUGGCAGCUCUUCCUUCCAGCUGAGUGGUCGAGGGCAGUGAGGCCAGGAGUGUGCCGUGGUCUGGUCCCAUCACUGUGUGUGUCUGGCUUUAAUAAGAGAAGGAACAAACCGAGCAGCAUCCCCCUGUGACCACGGACAGCCCCUGCCUUUCUGCCUGAGGGUCUCGAGCGUCUCACCACAUCCGUCGGUGUCCCGUCAUCCUGAUGGAGUGAAUACUGCCAUCCUGGCCCGAUCGUGUCACCGUCCUGCUUGCUGUGAGACAGCAGUGGGUGUGGGUUGGGGCGAUCUUACCUGUCCUGUAGGGCGUGGACAAUUGUCCGGCACAGUGCUGGAAAGGAGCGGCCAGGAGCGUGCGGUGGUUUAGUUCGGCCAGUGUCCUGUAGGGCGCUGAGAGCCAUUUGAGGUGAGGGCCUGAGGAGAGAGGAGAGAGGAGCUGAAUUCCUCUGGUUGAGUUUGUGUCCAGAGCGGAGGCUGGAGCCGCAGGAGCAGGCAGCCGAGCAGCCUCCCCGUCAGCACGGGCAGCCAUCGCAGGGCUGCCCAACUGCCCAGCUGCCGUUGGGGCCAGCGUUCCGGGGCCAAGGCC
Molecule: long non-coding RNA, 912 nt
Filed under: Anser brachyrhynchus (Pink-footed goose)
Lineage: Eukaryota; Metazoa; Chordata; Aves; Anseriformes; Anatidae
Description: lncRNA (ENSABRG00000004427.1)
Source: RNAcentral